This is a long non-coding RNA of Pteropus alecto (black flying fox), 622 nucleotides long. RefSeq lists it as uncharacterized. The record is from RefSeq and is a predicted model, not a curated record. Lineage: Eukaryota; Metazoa; Chordata; Mammalia; Chiroptera; Pteropodidae. The transcript has 4 exons.
UAGAAAAAUUAUAACAAAUUACAAGGGUUGUUUGAACCAAGCGCUGUGUUAUCAAGACAGUUGUUCUGAUGACCAAGAUAGCUACUAAGUGACUAAUGGGUGGGGAGUGAAUAGAAUGUGGAGACACUGGACAAAGGGGUGAUUCAGGUCCCAGGCAAGAUGGAGCAAGAUGGUGCGAGAUUUCAUCACACUACCCAGAAAGGGUGAAGGUAUGGAUCCUUUUCUGGAUUUGCAAUUAAAGUGGAUGUGUCGUCCCACUUUCUCAUCUACGUAACUGAGGAGUCAAAGAGAGCCACGAGAAGACACAGAGACACAGGAGAAAGCCAUGUGAAGAGGAAAGCAGAGAUUGGAGUGAUGCAGCCACAAGCCAAGGAACACCUGAGGCUACCAGAAGCUGGAAGAAGAGAGGAAGGAUCCUCCCCAAGAGGCUUCAGAGAGCAUGACACAUUGAUUUCAGACUUCCAGCCUCCAGAACUUCUUUGUGAAGGCUGAACAAAAGUGGAGAAAUUUGCUGGUCUGGAGACUCAUUGUGGGAAAAUUCACAGAGGUGUGGAACACUUGUGUGGGGUAAGGAUUAGGACUGUGCAAUCAGACCACCUGGGUUCAAAUCCUGACUCUAUGU